GGAGAUGCAGCUCAUUUGGUAGAGUGCUUUCUUAGCAUGUGUGAGACCCUGGGUUCAAUCCCCAGCACCCCCA
This 73-nucleotide transfer RNA is filed under the name Mus musculus (house mouse). It matches the Rfam family "tRNA". From Rfam's summary of the family: Transfer RNA (tRNA) molecules are approximately 80 nucleotides in length. Their secondary structure includes four short double-helical elements and three loops (D, anti-codon, and T loops). Further hydrogen bonds mediate the characteristic L-shaped molecular structure. tRNAs have two regions of fundamental functional importance: the anti-codon, which is responsible for specific mRNA codon recognition, and the 3' end, to which the tRNAs corresponding amino acid is attached (by aminoacyl-tRNA synthetases). tRNAs cope with the degeneracy of the genetic code in two manners: having more than one tRNA (with a specific anti-codon) for a particular amino acid; and 'wobble' base-pairing, i.e. permitting non-standard base-pairing at the 3rd anti-codon position. Lineage: Eukaryota; Metazoa; Chordata; Mammalia; Rodentia; Muridae. The record is from Rfam by way of RNAcentral.